GCACCAACAUUACCUCAACUUCCCAGUUCAGCCGAUGUACUCACUGCUGCGAUUCAAAGUUAUGUAACAAUCAAGCGUGUGGUGAACCGUGAUAUCCAUCAGAUAGGGGGCCUAUUUGCUACAGCUGCCAUAAUCCGGUACCAGCGGGCAGAUGUCACAAUAUUGACUUUUGUAGAAAGGGGGAGGCUUGUGGGGCUCACCUUUCUGGUGGUCUAUUGGUCGGAAAGCGAGAUAUUCUCAAAGAACGAUCCUACGACGUCCAUGACUGCGACUCGUGCUGUAACACUGAUC
Long non-coding RNA from Mya arenaria, 291 nucleotides. RefSeq lists it as uncharacterized. The record is from RefSeq and is a predicted model, not a curated record. Lineage: Eukaryota; Metazoa; Mollusca; Bivalvia; Myida; Myidae. The transcript has 3 exons.